GACGAACGCUGGCGGCGUGCUUAACACAUGCAAGUCGAACGGGCCUUGUCCCCUUUUUUUGGGGGUGGGGUUAGUGGCGAACGGGUGAGUAACACGUGAGUAACCUGCCCCUCACUUCUGGAUAACCGCUUGAAAGGGUGGCUAAUACGGGGUGUUCUGGCCUGCUCGCAUGGGUGGGUUUGGAAAGAUUCGACCGGUUUUGGUUGUUUUGGUGGGGGAUGGGCUCGCGGCCUAUCAGCUUGUUGGUGGGGUGAUGGCCUGCCAAGGCUUUGACGGGUAGCCGGCCUGAGAGGGUGGGCGGUCACAGUGGGAAUGGGACACGGCCCAGACUCCUACGGGAGGCAGCAGUGGGGAAUAUUGCACAAUGGGCGCAAGCCUGAUGCAGCGACGCCGCGUGAGGGAUGGAGGCCGUCGGGUUGUGAACCUCUUUCGCCAGUGAAGAAGGUCCUGCUCUUUGUGGUGGGGUUGACGGUAGCGGGGUUAAUGAAGCGCCGGCUAACUACGUG
RNAcentral lists this ribosomal RNA (506 nucleotides) under uncultured bacterium. RNAcentral's name for it is "partial 16S ribosomal RNA". It matches the Rfam family "Bacterial small subunit ribosomal RNA", at positions 28 to 507 of the family's 1533-position model. The record is from RNAcentral.